Molecule: ribosomal RNA, 317 nt
Filed under: uncultured soil bacterium
Lineage: Bacteria
Description: bacterial SSU rRNA
Rfam family: Bacterial small subunit ribosomal RNA
Source: RNAcentral
AAGUCCCGUAACGAGCGCAACCCCUAUUUUUAGUUGCCAGCACGUAAUGGUGGGGACUCUAGAAAGACUGCCUGCGCAAGCAGAGAGGAAGGAGGGGACGACGUCAAGUCAUCAUGGCCCUUACGUCCAGGGCUACACACGUGCUACAAUGGCGUAUACAAAGUGUUGCGACCUGGUGACAGGAAGCCAAUCACAGAAAGUACGUCUCAGUUCGGAUUGCAGGCUGCAACUCGCCUGCAUGAAGUUGGAAUCGCUAGUAAUCGCAAAUCAGCAAUGUUGCGGUGAAUACGUUCCCGGACCUUGUACACACCGCCCGU